Molecule: ribosomal RNA, 425 nt
Filed under: uncultured bacterium
Lineage: Bacteria
Description: bacterial SSU rRNA
Rfam family: Bacterial small subunit ribosomal RNA
Source: RNAcentral
GGGGAAUAUUGCACAAUGGGCGCAAGCCUGAUGCAGCCAUGCCGCGUGUGUGAAGAAGGCCUUCGGGUUGUAAAGCACUUUCAGCGGGGAGGAAGGCGGUGAGGUUAAUAACCUUGUCGAUUGACGUUGCCCGCAGAAGAAGCACCGGCUAACUCCGUGCCAGCAGCCGCGGUAAUACGGAGGGUGCAAGCGUUAAUCGGAAUUACUGGGCGUAAAGCGCACGCAGGCGGUCUGUCAAGUCGGAUGUGAAAUCCCCGGGCUCAACCUGGGAACUGCAUUCGAAACUGGCAGGCUAGAGUCUUGUAGAGGGGGGUAGAAUUCCAGGUGUAGCGGUGAAAUGCGUAGAGAUCUGGAGGAAUACCGGUGGCGAAGGCGGCCCACUAGACAAAGACUGACGCUCAGGUGCGAAAGCGUGGGGAGCAAAC